CAAAGGAUCCAGUCAUGUCAGCCACGCCUUUGCUUCUGGGUUCAGUGUGUAAAAAAGGGGGAGGCUCCUCCACAACCCACAUAACCACGCUGCCUUGAGAUUUGCGGUCCGUUGUGAGUGAGCUGAGGUCACGGAACACGAGAACUGCCUUGCACCUGUGUGGAGUCAAACCCCGUUUUCCUACAAAGGGAAUAUUUUUGCACAGCUUUUGCAUUACUGGUCACACGGUGGAAAUCUCCACCUCUCUAAGACAGGUUUAUCUUUAAAGCACAUGCAAUCCAGCCCCACCAGCUUGACGUGGUCCGAAACAGACAGUAAUUCACACCUGUUGUGAGGGAGACAGUUACAAUACGUCAGGUGGUUAGAGUGAAGGAUGCAGCUCAGUGAAUUAGGGGCCGGGUUUCCUGUGACACAGCCCCGUCGCUGCUCGCAGCCAGAAAUCUAAUCACUUCCAGUCUGGGCCAGUUGAUGAUGACAGUCAGGAAAUAAACUCAUGCAGCAUGUGGUGUUUAAUGAUUGUAAUCGUCCGCCUUCUGAUCCAGUCCUCGCCAGGCAUUCUCAUUUCAUUAUUUUAAACGCGUCUGACAGGUGUGAGCAGCACGAAUAAUCCAAAGUAAUCGAAAACAUCUUAAAACGGGGAGCGGGCACAUAAAGGGUCCAUAUACGUCGUGACUGGAAGCUCUAUUUUUGACUCCCGCCUUAUUUCAACCAAAUACGAGUUUGCUUUUCAUGUUUUUUGUUAUCGUUAGAGCUCCAUUUGCUGCAGUCGUCAUGUUUUGUUGUCACUAGGUCCGUACUGACAUGCACUCAGACUAGCUUGACCCAUAUUACGUUCUGAGGCCUCGCUGCAGUUGUAGAUCAUUGUAAUAACGGAUCUCUAAGUGUCGCAUGGUAUUUUGUGUUAAAUCAUUUAAUAAAAAAAUUGCAAUGUUUCCCCCAAAGCAGAUUCAGAUGUUACCACUUAAGAAAACAAAAGAUGAAGGAAAGACAACUCCGAGUGCUGCAGGCAACACUAUGCUCGUGUGCUUGUAUCAACCUUCAACACAUCAUCAAGGUAAAUAACAGCUUCACUAUUUCUUGCUACAGUGCAAAAAAAAAAGGAAACUCACGCUGUGUGAACAUCACACGCUUAUGACUUCUCUCAAUGCCAUUAACAGUGAGUGUACUGGUUUCUAAAAUGCACUCGUUGUGCCUGAAUGCUGUCCUGAAGGUCAGUUCUUUAAAAAAAACAAAAAAAACCCCACGCACUUUAACUCACGGGUCCCUUUGUCAUGGAGAUGGAAGCCAGUUGUGCACAGAGGUGCUUGGAGGUGCUGUAGUGGCUUCACCUCAUUGGCUGAAGGCUUUGAAGUGGCUGUUCAGACACUUGGGCAGCUUGUUCAAAUGAAGAAGGUACUGAAGAUGCCUUCAAUAUGCUACUUGCUGCCAAUGUCCUUGUUUCUUCUUCUGUCACCAGAUAAAAAAAAAUUGCAGCCAAUUGGAAGAGCCAGAGGAGUUGCAUGAAACAAAUUUGUAGAGAAACAGCAGUUAAAAAAAUAAAUUAAAAAAACAGCUGGUGAAGGAGUAGUUUGGUUUUAAAUGACAUUAGGUUUAUAUAAAUGCCAUUAAAAAUGCUAUCUUUGAAUUUUUACCACUAUAUAGAUUAGGCUAACAGUCAGAUUGCUGCAGUACCUUUUUGAGAAACUUAGGUCUUCAGCGAUGUCAGAAGUUAUUACUUAUUGCUGUGGCAACAGGGAAAAGUGUGAUAUAAAAAAAAAGUAAGACAACACAACAGAUGCGUCUAAAUUUAUAAUAACUCAGAUGAGAUUUUCAUAUGGUGUGAAAAAACACAUUUCACCUUUGUUUGAAUGUGCAUGUGCAAACCUCUGGACUCAUCAACAAGGGGUUUUUUUGGAAUAUGAAACCAGUACUUUUGCUUUGGGAGUUCAAUUAAUGACCAUGUUUCUAACGUCUCAUGGUCGUUAACAUGAUAAUCAAACAUAUAACACAAUGUUGCUGUUUUGUUUUUAGUUUAAUCCGUUUUUAUUUUAGGAUUAGUUGUGUUUAAAUUAAAUUUCCUAAUUGGCAAAGCGUUUUAGGACACGCAGUCAUAAAUAUGUAUAUGGAAAUGACAGAUACACGGCUAAAAAGGAACAGGCACAAGCCGCAGACUGAGGGAGACAGGCCUCUGUGGUGAGCGGGAGGUUUGUCGGAUGUCAGCCAGCGGAUGUAGAACUCGUCCACUGCUGUACACCUCAAGGUUCCUGGAUUUUAUCUACACUUUCAGCUGUUGUCUAGUUUAUUUUCUUUCUGUUCAGUCUCUUGCUCAGCGGGUGAGAUGUGUCUUUAGUUGCAUUACAUUAUUUUGUUUCUUGGACAAUGUGUUUUGAAUCAUUGAAUGGCCCGUUCUAAUAAACCUUCUACUUACUUGCUAGUCCUAACUUUUUCCGCUCAUGUCACGCAAGAGGUGAACAGGCAAAAAACAAAAGCAACAAGGAUGUAUUUUUAGAGAAAUGACAUGUCCUCUACUUUGACCUUGUCCGUUUCUGCUGACAGCGGCACAGCUGGUUCCUCUGUCAGUUUGUAGAGCUACAGUAUAGGUGCGUGUUGAAGUUUAAUUUGAACAGAUUCAUCCAAAUAAUAAUAAUAAUGAUAAUGAUAAGAUGAUGAACAAUGAAAGAUAAUAGAUGCACUUGACAACACAUUGGUAUCUCACUGAUUUGCAAAGCAUCAUUACGUGUAUUUAUCUUAAGAUCAAACCAGUUUGUUAAGCAUUUGGAGAAUGCACGCUCUGCAUUUCCAAUCAUUGAUAAGGUAAAUGCAGUGUAGCCUUAUUAUUACCCGGUUUGAUCACAAUGACUGGAUUUGUUGACAUUAUUGUUAUACUACUUGAUGCACAAUGACAAUUAUUUUUAAUCAAAAUUUGAAUUGCUUCUACUCAGUGAUGGAAGCUGCUUUGCACUGCGAUUCAGGUGUGAUGGAACAGACACAUUAGGAAGCAGCCACUGUCUUAGCUGGUGACGCAUCUUCUAAUUAACGCAGUUUUUUAAUAAUUAUCAGAGAAAACAUUUCUGUAAAAUACAUAGAAUGACAAAAGCAGAUUAUUUUCUGCUGAGUUAACUCUUGACUGGACAGGAUUGAGAUCGAAGCAGCAGAAACAGUGUCAGGCGUGAGCUUGCAUGCUUUCGAUUCCUUUUCACUUAGGUUUUUCCAGUCACUCUGGCAGAAGUUCAUCUUGCUCUCAUUAGGCCAAAUUCCCCUCACGUCCUUUUGCCAAUAGAUGUUGUGUCUGUGAGAACCUGUCAGUGCUGUCCAGCCUUUGUUGAGACUUGACUCUUCAAUUAAGUUUUUUUACAAACAUUAGAAGACGGCAGUGAGGACGUCUGAGCAAUAGUUAGAAUACAGCUAUGGUUAGCUGCCCCAACACAAAGGGGUCUAUUCAGGGGGAAACACUGGGACUCUGCUGUAUUGGCUAUGCCCAGUGUUUGUACAAUAGCUUUGAUUGAUUUUUGCUUCUUUUUUUCAGAAUAAAAAGGGCCUCUGCUUCAUCCAAUGAACAGCUCUCUGUGCAGGCUGGCCUAUUCUCUUCAACAACGCACGCAGCCUCAUCCCAAGGCUCUGAGCAUAAGUAGGCAUUUAGAGCCAACAGUCUGAACAAUCAAUCUCACUGGAUGCACCGAGCAGGAAACGCCCGUCAAUCAAAUGCCUCAAUACUUCAUAACACACGGGUGAUCAGACACAAAAGGUGCUUCACUUCAUGUUUCUCAUAACUAAAUGUAAUAAGUGGGAAUAAAAGCUGAAACCAGGA
Molecule: long non-coding RNA, 3787 nt
Organism: Betta splendens (Siamese fighting fish)
Lineage: Eukaryota; Metazoa; Chordata; Actinopteri; Anabantiformes; Osphronemidae
Exons: 2
Source: RefSeq, a predicted model, not a curated record